This 254-nucleotide ribosomal RNA is filed under the name uncultured bacterium. RNAcentral's name for it is "partial 16S ribosomal RNA". It matches the Rfam family "Bacterial small subunit ribosomal RNA", at positions 524 to 776 of the family's 1533-position model. The record is from RNAcentral.
UACGGAGGAUCCAAGCGUUAUCCGGAAUUACUGGGCGUAAAGAGUUGCGUAGGUGGCAUUGUAAGUUGAUAGUGAAAGCGUCCGGCUCAACCGGAUACACAUUAUCAAAACUGCAAAGCUAGAGGACAAGAGAGGUUAUUGGAAUUCCUAGUGUAGGAGUGAAAUCCGUAGAUAUUAGGAGGAACACCGAUGGCGUAGGCAGAUAACUGGCUUGUUCCUGACACUAAGGCACGAAAGCGUGGGUAGCAAACGGG